This 3610-nucleotide long non-coding RNA is filed under the name Mus musculus (house mouse). RNAcentral describes it as "long non-coding RNA chr17:83939032-83942642". The record is from RNAcentral. Lineage: Eukaryota; Metazoa; Chordata; Mammalia; Rodentia; Muridae.
AGCCUGGACUUCUACUCAGCGAGGAAGCGGUGGCCAGGUACUGGGUGGCAGCUGCGCAUGGGUCGUUCCUUCCUUCAGGUGUAGUCUGGAGAUGGGAACAGUUUGUCCUCAGUAAGCUGUCAGAAGCCUUGGCUGAGGUGACCUUAUUAGCACUCUGAUGCACAGUGACAGAGGUUGGGCUUCCCGGGCCCCCUGAGUUACUGCAGUAAACCCAGAGGGCUCUAUGCUGAGUCCCUCAUUGUCCAGACAAGGGGAGUGAGGCUGGAGAGCUGAGAAGCCAGCAGACCUCUGAGGAAGACACAGAUAAAUGGAGAAACCUCCCGAGGGUCGCUGCAUUCGGGGUGAAUUGGCAUCCAACGGUCCUGAGUGGGCUCGGCAGGCCCCAGCUCUCUGGAGUAAAUGCCUUUGUCUGUGUUCUGUGGGCCUGACACCAUUUAUGGGUUUACUCCACUGACUGGGUAUGAUCACGUCUGUCCAAAGAGUUUUGCCAACAGGAAAUGCAUAUGAGCACUUUAUUGUUGUGGGUGUGGAGAACAGAGUGAUCCCUGCCGCUUCCUUACCUUGGACAAGCCCUGUCUCCAGUCCACCUCACAGAUCUGGUCACUUGUCUGUCCCUCACUGGCCUCAUGCUGCCAAAGUCACUCAUCUCAGGAGUACAGACCCGGGGACCAGCGGGACUGGGAACUUCAUUCCGUUAAGAUCAAGCCCCCCACGGCCUUCUGCCUUGGGGCUGCCUCUCUGAGAAACUCUGGGGUGCACCUCAGCCUCUAUCCCAUUCCUGCCUUCUGUCCAACUGGCCUUCUUUCCUACUUCAUGCUGUGGGCCCAUGAGAUUUCUUUAGACAGGAGGUCUCCCUCCCUGCCUGUCCUCCCUAGUCCUGGCUGGCUCUCCACUCAUUCCUCAUGGUGAUCUCCUGGCCUUUCUCAGUGACUGGAUAGGAAGAGGUAUGUCUGACCAGUGGCUCAGUGGGAGUCAGAAGGGGGCUUGAAACGCCAAGGACCACAGAUACGCUCCUCUCUGGCAUUACCAAGGUCAUUCUUUGUUUCAUAAGAGAGUCCAAAAGAGGACAAAGUUGAUCAUGGAGAGUUGCAGGGUGCCUUCUGGCGUUGAGAACGGCCCAGAAGUGGACAUGGCCUGGACUUCUUUACAUCCCUGGUGCUUGAUGGUUGUUUGUUUUGGUUACUCUUGUCUGCCUGUCUUGUCUUGCCUUUAUGGUUAUACCAAGCCAAGAAGAACUAGGCAUCCCGGGCUGCCAUGCUUAUGAGUUACUUAAUCACCAAACAAGUAAGGGCUGUUGUCCCUAGCUUCAUUGAUGCCUGGCUGUAGGUGAUCUGGUUACGUGUAUGAGCUCUUAAGAGUGAUGGACAAUUAAGACUCCUGCUACUCCCCACCCCCGCCAUCCCUGACUUUGUUCACAUGGUCACAAAUGGCUUCGUCACUUCCAGCCUUCACAUUUAAUUUCCAGGCCAAGAGAAUGGAGGAAAGGGGCAAGUUUACAUUAGCUGAAUCUAUACUUUUUAAUCAAGAAAACAUGACCUUUAAAAAGCCUGGCCAUAAAACUCUUUGUACUUGAGAUUUGUUGGAAAUAGGUUGUAUCGCAGCUAGAGCUGGAAAGAUCAUAUUUUGCAGAGGAUUUUGUUAGAGAUGAGAGGGGAGAAAUGCAUGCUGGGUAGAAAGAAUGAUUGGCACCUGCAAGGAAGAAGCCCAGUGAGCACAACCCCCUUUUCCAAACAUCUGAGGCUGUUCUGGGUCACCGCCACCUUCCACAGACGCCUCAGCAGUCACCCAUUGUAGCUGCACUAGACCAUAAGUUCCUUGCCAGACUCUCCCUGAGUGCACAGGAUACAAGCAGACAUCCCUGUACCUCACCUCCCAAACUGGGCUGCAAACCACACGUGAUCCGAUUCAUCCUCCGUGCUCACCGUCCGCAUCAGUACAUCUCUGGUCCUUCUGCUGGUUGAUGGUUGGAACCCUCAUCUCUUGGGACAUCUCCUCUCCAGAGUUGAGUCACCUAUCUGAAACCUUCACUGCCCUAGGUUUUUCCAACCUGUGCCCCUCACACUGAAUAUUUGUCACGGAGCAAUGAUAACAAAAGCUCCCUGUGGGGUGAAAGCACAUGCAUACAUCCUUAUACUCCUGCCAUACAUGGAGGAGAUGUUGGGCACAUACCACUCAGCUCUGGCAACCUCCAUCUGGGUGCUGUGGGUGAGCCCCGAAAAGAGCAACAGAGUUCAAAACCCAGACUUGUGCAUUUGCUUGCUAUGAUCUGAAAAGUCCAAGGUCAACAUGAACCUCAGUGGCCAGUACAUGAUCUGCUCCUCCAUCACCCACCAUGCUGGCCCCCAACAGCAACAUGUCUGGAACUGUAAAAAGCCCCUUUCUCGAGUCUUUCUAGUCCUUGGGUCUCCCUGCCUAGGGGGAAUGAUUACCUUGAACACAAGAGUUUGGGAUGCAGGGCACUGCUUUCCACAAAGGAAAUCAUAUGCUAUGUCAUCUUGAAUGAAUUUAUUUGUUUACAAUUACGUGGAUGAGAUUCUCUCAGGUCUCCGUGGGAGUUGUGGUUUCUUUAUUCCUAUUGUUGUAUAACAUUGAACUUUAAGAAUAUAUUGCAAUUUUCUAGUUGUCAGUGAUAACAAAUGGUGUGCCAUGAACAUUUGGAAUAGGUCUACAAUUUUGUCGGGUAUUUGUGUUGGGAGUGGAAUAGCAUUGACAGGGAAGGGAUCUAUUUAGUGUUCGUAGAUAGGGACAAAUAGUUUCUAAGCCAUUUAUACUCAUUUAUUUCCCAACAGUAUGUAUGAGCUCUAGCUGCUCCAGAUUCCAGUGACCACUUGGGAUUGUUGGUGCUUUUAUUUAGCCACUCAGUUUGGUAGUUGUGAAACGGCAUCUCAUUAUGGUGUGGUUUUCAUUUGUGCUUCCUACACAGGACUGUGGGCUGCUGACAUGGAUUUAGCUUCUAACUGCCAUCUCCAGUAAGGAGGAGAAAUGGGCAGAGGUCUCUGUCCAGGGGUGAGGCUUCUGGAUGCAGGAAUGCUGGGAUACACCUCUUUGCAACUGGGAGGCCAAGCAGAAGCAGAGUGCCUGGGAGUGAGGGCCACUCUGAUCCUGGGCCGUUAUGAUCCUGGGCCUCAUUUGCAGAGAGGCAACGGGAUGCCAAGGGAAGAGUGGACCUGGGUUCUGACACUUUCUAGUUACCACAUUCUGGGCAAAUUUCUACCUUUGUUAAGUAGAAACAAUAAGGAAAACACGGCAGGGGUUCAAAUAACAGGGCGUGAGAACAAUAUCUGGGACAGAGGUACGCAGAGAUCAGUCCCCUGUACCACUGGGUGCAGUGACUGACAGCUAACUGGAUGGAUAGAUGCAGGAAGAGAAGCAGAACAAGGCCUGUUAGUUAGGCAGCCACUACAGCAGAAGGCCCGGUGACUUGUGUGUCCUUUUUAUGCUUGGAACAUUGCCUUGAGAAAUUACCAGUCUGACUGGUGAGGCAGCACUCGCCUGCCCAUGAUCCUAGCACUUAGGAGGCAGAGGUAGGAUGCUAACACAGGACCAAGGGUAGUCUGGUCUAUAGAGUGAGUUCCAGGCCAGCCAGGGCUACAUAGCAAUCCUCAGUCUC